UACAGAAGCCUCGAGCGUUGUUCGGAAUUACUGGGCGUAAAGGGAAUGUAGGUGGUGACGUAAGUCAGAUGUGAAAGCCCUGGGCUUAACCCGGGAAGUGCAUUUGAUACUGCGUUGCUUGAGUGCGAGAGAGGAAAGCGGAAUUCCAGGUGUAGGGGUGAAAUCCGUAGAUAUCUGGAGGAAUACCGAUGGCGAAGGCAGCUUUCUGGCUCGUAACUGACACUGAGAUUCGAAAGCGUGGGUAGCAAAC
RNAcentral lists this ribosomal RNA (250 nucleotides) under uncultured bacterium. RNAcentral describes it as "partial 16S ribosomal RNA". It matches the Rfam family "Bacterial small subunit ribosomal RNA", at positions 524 to 773 of the family's 1533-position model. The record is from RNAcentral.